AGAGUUUGAUCCUGGCUCAGAUUGAACGCUGGCGGAAUGCUUUACACAUGCAAGUCGAACGGUAGAGGGGGCAACCCCUUGGGAGUGGCGAACGGGUGAGUAAUAUAUCGGAACGUGCCCAGUCGUGGGGGAUAACGUAGCGAAAGUUACGCUAAUACCGCAUACGAUCUAUGGAUGAAAGCGGGGGACUCGCAAGAGCCUCGCGCGAUUGGAGCGGCCGAUAUCAGAUUAGGUAGUUGGUGGGGUAAAGGCUCACCAAGCCAACGAUCUGUAGCUGGUCUGAGAGGACGACCAGCCACACUGGAACUGAGACACGGUCCAGACUCCUACGGGAGGCAGCAGUGGGGAAUUUUGGACAAUGGACGCAAGUCUGAUCCAGCCAUUCCGCGUGCAGGAUGAAGGCCCUCGGGUUGUAAACUGCUUUUGUACGGAACGAAAAGGUUUCUAUUAAUACUAGGAGCUCAUGACGGUACCGUAAGAAUAAGCACCGGCUAACUACGUGCCAGCAGCCGCGGUAAUACGUAGGGUGCAAGCGUUAAUCGGAAUUAC
RNAcentral lists this ribosomal RNA (549 nucleotides) under uncultured freshwater bacterium. RNAcentral's name for it is "bacterial SSU rRNA". It matches the Rfam family "Bacterial small subunit ribosomal RNA", at positions 8 to 554 of the family's 1533-position model. The record is from RNAcentral.